UUGAUCCUGGCUCAGAAUCAACGCUGGCGGCGUGCCUAACACAUGCAAGUCGAACGCGAAAGUGGAGCAAUCCAUGAGUAGAGUGGCAAACGGGUGAGUUACGCGUGGGUGACCUGCCUUCGAGUGGGGGAUAACGUUCCGAAAGGGACUCUAAUACCGCAUGACAUCCGGCCUUUGAAGAGGCGGAGAUCAAAGCUGGUGAUCGCAAGACCUAGCGCUCGAUGAGGGGCCCGCGUCUGAUUAGCUAGUUGGUGGGGUAACGGCUCACCAAGGCAACGAUCAGUAUCCGGCCUGAGAGGUCGGACGGACACACUGGGACUGAGACACGGCCCAGACUCCUACGGGAGGCUGCAGUGGGGAAUUGUUCGCAAUGGGCGCAAGCCUGACGACGCAACGCCGUGUGGAGGAUGAAGAUCUUCGGGUCGUAAACUCCUUUCGAUCGAGACGAAUAGCCUUCGGGUAAACAAUCCGGAGGUCUGACGGUACCGAGAGAAGAAGCUCCGGCUAACUCCGUGCCAGCAGCCGCGGUAAUAAGGU
RNAcentral lists this ribosomal RNA (537 nucleotides) under uncultured Acidobacteriota bacterium. RNAcentral's name for it is "bacterial SSU rRNA". It matches the Rfam family "Bacterial small subunit ribosomal RNA", at positions 13 to 529 of the family's 1533-position model. The record is from RNAcentral. Lineage: Bacteria; Pseudomonadati; Acidobacteriota.